This 809-nucleotide ribosomal RNA is filed under the name uncultured Mycobacterium sp. RNAcentral's name for it is "bacterial SSU rRNA". It matches the Rfam family "Bacterial small subunit ribosomal RNA", at positions 534 to 1341 of the family's 1533-position model. The record is from RNAcentral. Lineage: Bacteria; Bacillati; Actinomycetota; Actinomycetes; Mycobacteriales; Mycobacteriaceae.
GCGAGCGUUGUCCGGAAUUACUGGGCGUAAAGAGCUCGUAGGUGGUUUGUCGCGUUGUUCGUGAAAUCUCACGGCUUAACUGUGAGCGUGCGGGCGAUACGGGCAGACUUGAGUACUGCAGGGGAGACUGGAAUUCCUGGUGUAGCGGUGGAAUGCGCAGAUAUCAGGAGGAACACCGGUGGCGAAGGCGGGUCUCUGGGCAGUAACUGACGCUGAGGAGCGAAAGCGUGGGGAGCGAACAGGAUUAGAUACCCUGGUAGUCCACGCCGUAAACGGUGGGUACUAGGUGUGGGUUUCCUUCCUUGGGAUCCGUGCCGUAGCUAACGCAUUAAGUACCCCGCCUGGGGAGUACGGCCGCAAGGCUAAAACUCAAAGAAAUUGACGGGGGCCCGCACAAGCGGCGGAGCAUGUGGAUUAAUUCGAUGCAACGCGAAGAACCUUACCUGGGUUUGACAUGCACAGGACGCCGGCAGAGAUGUCGGUUCCCUUGUGGCCUGUGUGCAGGUGGUGCAUGGCUGUCGUCAGCUCGUGUCGUGAGAUGUUGGGUUAAGUCCCGCAACGAGCGCAACCCUUGUCUCAUGUUGCCAGCGGGUAAUGCCGGGGACUCGUGAGAGACUGCCGGGGUCAACUCGGAGGAAGGUGGGGAUGACGUCAAGUCAUCAUGCCCCUUAUGUCCAGGGCUUCACACAUGCUACAAUGGCCGGUACAAAGGGCUGCGAUGCCGCGAGGUUAAGCGAAUCCUUUUAAAGCCGGUCUCAGUUCGGAUCGGGGUCUGCAACUCGACCCCGUGAAGUCGGAGUCGCUAGUAA